UACGUAGGGUGCGAGCGUUAAUCGGAAUUACUGGGCGUAAAGCGUGCGCAGGCGGUUUUGCAAGUCGGGUGUGAAAUCCCCAGGCUUAACCUGGGAACUGCAUUCGAGACUGCAUUGCUAGAGUAUGGGAGAGGGAAGUGGAAUUUCCGGUGUAGCGGUGAAAUGCGUAGAUAUCGGAAGGAACAUCAGUGGCGAAAGCGACUUCCUGGACCAAUACUGACGCUCAUGUGCGAAAGCGUGGGGAGCAAACAGG
RNAcentral lists this ribosomal RNA (253 nucleotides) under uncultured bacterium. RNAcentral describes it as "partial 16S ribosomal RNA". It matches the Rfam family "Bacterial small subunit ribosomal RNA", at positions 524 to 776 of the family's 1533-position model. The record is from RNAcentral.